This is a non-coding RNA of Leptonychotes weddellii (Weddell seal), 1831 nucleotides long. The record is from RefSeq and is a predicted model, not a curated record. NCBI's taxonomy places the organism in Eukaryota, Metazoa, Chordata, Mammalia, Carnivora, Phocidae.
CUAUCCAGACUUUGCCUGACACUGCAGGGUCCAGGAGAAUUAAAGAAAUACGGAAUGACAUGAAGAAGAUUAGUUAAGGAUUAUAGGCUUUGAGGACAAACACCUCAGUGAGGUGAAGCACAGACAAGCUCCUGAGCUGUAGUUUGGAGGAGCCGUGUGUUGGAAGAAGAUGGCGGACCCAGGAAUGAUGAGUCUUUUUGGCGAGGAUGGGAAUAUUUUCAGCGAAGGCCUUGAAGGCCUUGGAGAAUGUGGUUACCCUGAAAAUCCGGUGAACCCCAUGGGUCAGCAAAUGCCGAUAGACCAAGGCUUUGCCUCCUUGCAGCCAUCCCUUCAUCAUCCCUCCACUAAUCAAAAUCAAACAAAGCUGACCCAUUUCGACCACUAUAAUCAGUACGAACAACAAAAGAUGCAUCUGAUGGAUCAGCCAAACAGGAUGAUGAGCAGCGCCCCUGGGAACGGGCUCGCGUCUCCUCACUCGCAGUAUCACGCCCCUCCCGUCCCUCAGGUCCCCCACGGUGGCAGUGGUGGCAGUCAGAUGGGCGUCUACCCUGGCCUGCAGAACGAAAGGCAUGGGCAGUCUUUCGUGGACAGUGGCUCCAUGUGGGGCCCCCGGGCUGUGCAGGUGCCGGACCAGAUACGGGCCCCCUACCAGCCGCAGCCCCAGCCCCAGCCACCCCAGCCCGCUCCAUCGGGGCCCCCCACGCAGGGCCACCCUCAGCACAUGCAGCAGAUGGGCAGCUACAUGGCACGUGGGGAUUUCUCCAUGCAGCAGCAUGGUCAGCCACAGCAGAGGAUGAGCCAGUUUUCCCAAGGCCAAGAGGGCCUCAAUCAGGCCAGUCCCUUCAUUGCCACGUCGGGCCCCGGCCACUUGUCCCACGUGCCCCCGCAGAGUCCCAGCAUGGCGCCUUCCUUGCGUCAUCCGGUGCAGCAGUUCCACCACCACCCCCCUACUGCUCUCCACGGAGAAUCCGUUGCCCACAGCCCCAGAUUCUCCCCUAAUCCUCCUCAGCAAGGGGCUGUGAGGCCACAGACCCUUACCUUUAGUUCUCGGAGCCAGACCGUCCCCUCACCUACUAUAAACAACUCAGGGCAGUAUUCUCGAUAUCCUUACAGUAACCUAAAUCAGGGAUUAGUUAACAAUACAGGGAUGAAUCAAAAUUUAGGCCUUACAAAUAAUACUCCAAUGAAUCAGUCCGUACCAAGAUACCCCAAUGCUGUAGGAUUCCCAUCGAACAGUGGUCAAGGACUAAUGCACCAGCAGCCCAUCCACCCCAGUGGCUCACUUAACCAAAUGAACACACAAACUAUGCAUCCUUCACAGCCUCAGGGAACUUACGCCUCUCCACCUCCCAUGUCACCCAUGAAAGCGAUGAGUAAUCCGGCAGGCACCCCUCCGCCGCAGGUCAGGCCCGGAAGUGCUGGGAUGCCAAUGGAAGUUGGCAGUUAUCCAAAUAUGCCCCACCCUCAGCCAUCUCACCAGCCCCCCGGUGCCAUGGGAAUCGGACAGAGGAACAUGGGCCCCCGAAACAUGCAGCCGUCUCGUCCGUUCAUGGGCAUGUCCUCGGCACCGAGGGAGUUGGCCGGGCACAUGAGACCAAAUGGUUGUCCUGGUGUUGGCCUUGCAGAUCCCCAAGCCAUCCAGGAACGACUGCUGCCUGGCCAACAGCAUCCUGGUCAGCAGCCGUCUUUCCAGCAGUUGCCAACCUGCCCUCCGAUGCAGCCCCACCCGGGCUUGCACCACCAGUCGUCACCCCCACACCCGCAUCACCAGCCUUGGGCACAGCUCCAUCCAUCACCCCAGAACACCCCGCAGAAAGUGCCUGUGCCUCAG